Molecule: ribosomal RNA, 497 nt
Filed under: uncultured bacterium
Lineage: Bacteria
Description: partial 16S ribosomal RNA
Rfam family: Bacterial small subunit ribosomal RNA
Source: RNAcentral
GAUGAACGCUGGCGGCGUGCCUAAUACAUGCAAGUCGAGCGAACAGACGAGGAGCUUGCUCCUCUGACGUUAGCGGCGGACGGGUGAGUAACACGUGGAUAACCUACCUAUAAGACUGGGAUAACUUCGGGAAACCGGAGCUAAUACCGGAUAAUAUAUUGAACCGCAUGGUUCAAUAGUGAAAGACGGUUUUGCUGUCACUUAUAGAUGGUUCCGGGCCGGAUUAGCUAGUUGGUAAGGUAACGGCUUACCAAGGCAACGAUGCGUAGCCGACCUGAGAGGGUGAUCGGCCACACUGGAACUGAGACACGGUCCAGACUCCUACGGGAGGCAGCAGUAGGGAAUCUUCCGCAAUGGGCGAAAGCCUGACGGAGCAACGCCGCGUGAGUGAUGAAGGUCUUCGGAUCGUAAAACUCUGUUAUUAGGGAAGAACAAAUGUGUAAGUAACUAUGCACGUCUUGACGGUACCUAAUCAGAAAGCCACGGCUAACUACGUG